CUUUCGUUGGUGCCCCAACGCACUUGGAGAUCAACUUUCAAAACUGGAUCCGUCGUUGCCGGCUGGCUAUCGGUAGCCCAGACUUCGGAGACGCAGCUAUAUUUCAGGCUGUCAGGGCAGGGCUUCGCAGCCACAUUGUCCGUGAGCAAGCACUGUAUGGUCUUGUGGAGUGCUCUCGCCGCUGGCUGACGUCUACUCGUCUUUUCCGCCACGUUCAGGGUCCCCGGGGAAACGUCACAUAGUGCAUAUCGGCGGUUCCGGCCCUUGUUGAGUUUUCCUCCUCGCGUCGCAGCAAAACAUGACGUCACAGGAGAAUGGAAUGACCAUACGGCCACUGCAGCGCAGUAAAGUUGAAGAACAGCGUGUCUUACGCAUCUCCUUCCGGCUAAAGCCAAAGACAGACAGCGAUUUCUAGCAGACUGGAAGGAAGGACUCGACGAUAACGACCACCAUAAGAAAGCCAUCAAAUCAAGGCUUAGCGGAGUGAUGUCAGCCGCUUCAAGACCAGGUAUCAGGGGAAUGACUUUUCUUUUUUAUUUCUUUUUUUUUUAUCAUUAUCGAGAACAGCCUUCUACCUAUAAUAUACCUCUACCCCCAGCGAUGUGCCACCAUCGAAGAUAUAUAACUUUAAGGCAGGUCUCUCGGUAGAUAAACGGCACACACCCAAAAGUACAGCAAUCAGGUUGCCCUUAUCACUAUACAUAAACACUGUAAACAACAAAAAAAAGAAAAGAAAAGAAAAAAGAAGACGCAAUUUUCGACUGUUGUGAAUCGAGCACUUUGAUCAAUUUCCAAUCGCGAUAAAUUGCAUUUUCCAAAUUGAGAUCCAAA
This is a long non-coding RNA of Ornithodoros turicata, 831 nucleotides long. RefSeq lists it as uncharacterized. The transcript is spliced from 4 exons. The record is from RefSeq and is a predicted model, not a curated record. NCBI's taxonomy places the organism in Eukaryota, Metazoa, Arthropoda, Arachnida, Ixodida, Argasidae.